RNAcentral lists this transfer RNA (72 nucleotides) under Ovis aries (sheep). It matches the Rfam family "tRNA". From Rfam's summary of the family: Transfer RNA (tRNA) molecules are approximately 80 nucleotides in length. Their secondary structure includes four short double-helical elements and three loops (D, anti-codon, and T loops). The record is from Rfam by way of RNAcentral. Lineage: Eukaryota; Metazoa; Chordata; Mammalia; Artiodactyla; Bovidae.
UCCCUGUUAGCUCAGAUGGAAAAGCAUUUGCCUGCAAUGCAGGAUACUGGGGUUCAAUCCCUGGAUUGGGAA